AAUUUUAUAUUUAUUUUCAUUAAAAAGUUAAACGUGCUUAUUGUAGGCCUUUUUACAUGUCGUGCUUUAGCCCGCCUUUAAUCUUGUUGUGUUUUUUAGGUUUGCAUGCCUAAAAUUCUAAACUCAACCCAGCCCACGUGUGUGUUGUUUAUGCUGUGUGCCCCACUAAGACGUGCUCAUGCAUGCCGUGCUAUGUGGACACGUGCCGUACCUGUGUCAUUCCACGUGCCGUCUAGCCUGUUGGCCAUCUCUAUUUAUGAUUACCCUACAGUAGAAAUCAAUGACCCCUAAAGUAACACUACUAGAAGAAAAGGAAGAUUUGAUGUAUUAUAGCAUUUAGUAUAAUGUGAACGUAGUAUUUAUUACUUUUAUUUUUAUCAAAUUUUUAUAUUGUGUUAAAAAUUUAAUCAUAUU
Molecule: long non-coding RNA, 414 nt
Filed under: Citrus x clementina
Lineage: Eukaryota; Viridiplantae; Streptophyta; Magnoliopsida; Sapindales; Rutaceae
Description: Citrus clementina (C. clementina) long non-coding RNA (CCLE_LNC000264)
Source: RNAcentral